AUUGAACGCUGGCGGCAUGCUUUACACAUGCAAGUCGAACGGCAGCGCGGGCUUCGGCCUGGCGGCGAUUGGCGAACGGGUGAGUAAUACAUCGGAACUUGCCCAGUAGUGGGGGAUAGCUCGGCGAAAGCCGGAUUAAUACCGCAUACGACCUUUGGGUGAAAGCGGGGGAUCUUCCGACCUCGCGCUUUUGUAGCGGCCUAUGUCAGAUUAGCUAGUUGGUGGGGUAAAUGCCUACCAAGGCGACGAUCUGUAGCUGGUCUGAGAGGACGACCAGCCACACUGGGACUGAGACACGGCCCAGACUCCUACGGGAGGCAGCAGUGGGGAAUUUUGGACAAUGGGCGAAAGCCUGAUACAGCAAUGCCGCGUGUGUGAUGAAGGCCUUCGGGUUGUAAAGCACUUUUGGCGGGAACGAAAAGGACUGUGCCAAUACCACGGUUCGAUGACGGUACCCGCAGAAUAAGCACCGGCUAACUACGUG
RNAcentral lists this ribosomal RNA (484 nucleotides) under uncultured bacterium. RNAcentral's name for it is "partial 16S ribosomal RNA". It matches the Rfam family "Bacterial small subunit ribosomal RNA", at positions 30 to 507 of the family's 1533-position model. The record is from RNAcentral.